UGGCUCAGCGGUUAAGAGCACUGGCUGCCCUUCCAGAGGACCUGGGUUCAAUUCCCAG
This 58-nucleotide transfer RNA is filed under the name Cricetulus griseus (Chinese hamster). It matches the Rfam family "tRNA", at positions 8 to 63 of the family's 71-position model. From Rfam's summary of the family: Transfer RNA (tRNA) molecules are approximately 80 nucleotides in length. Their secondary structure includes four short double-helical elements and three loops (D, anti-codon, and T loops). The record is from Rfam by way of RNAcentral. Lineage: Eukaryota; Metazoa; Chordata; Mammalia; Rodentia; Cricetidae. RNAcentral also lists the same sequence under 1 other name.